AAUUUAACUUUUGUUUUUGACCCAGUUGUUGUGGUGGCGGAGAUGUAACCAAACUGUGAGCUACGCGCUUUUUGCUCCAUUUGCCCACUAUUUUAUUUUGUCGUUCAGACUACCUCACAUGGUGUACAAGUAUAAUAAAUGUCAACUACUUAAGUGGAAUUCCAGACUAACUCGUCAUUAGCAGCGGAUAAGAUCCACAAAGGUGGGAAUUACCCCAGAGCAUCCGUGAAUUGCUCUGGCCCUGGAGCUAGCAAGUGAAGGCUCCCCUGAGCCGUCUCGACUGCGGUCUGGAGGCGAGGCAGGAAAGGUAACACUGGGGGCUCGUCCAGUAUAAAGGAACCAGAAGGUCAACUGGCGAAGUGGCUCGAGAAGUUUGGGGAGUAUAACUUACAUCGUUCAGGACGCCACCACGAAAAUGCUAACGUCCUGUUCAGGAGGCCCUGCCGCCAGACUUGCUCCUGCACUAUACAGGACCAAACCCAGAACAAUGACUGUUUCAGGCACCAGGAAGUGCAGUGUGGCCUCGGUCCCAGCAUAGCUGAUUACGAGGUGGAAUCAAUCAAUCAAAUGUAUUUAUAAAGCCCUUUUUACAUCAAAGCCCUUUUUACAUUCAACAUGUCGAGUCUGAUGUGAUGAGAGAGAUGAGCGGCGUUAUCGAUAGCCAAUUUGAACCAUAACAUAACAUCAGAUACAGAUACACAAUUCAUCAUUUAUCAUUAUGAAAUGGAUGGGUCACAUUUAUUGAAAUUAUGCCAUUCUAAGUGACAAUUAACUGAAUCGGUGUCAUCAUGCUUGCACCUCCUUCGUCUGAUGACGGAACCGACAACGCCUGAAGAAAAGCGUUGCCUCACCAGGGUCUUUGCAACGUUUCCUCUCUGCGUGACGCCGCCAGACUUGCCCCUGCACUGUACAGGACCCUACCCAGAACAAUGACCAUUGCAGGCACCAGGAAGUGCAGUGUGACCUCGGCCCCAGCAUAACUGAUUACACUGUGGAAUCAAUCAAUCAAUCAAAUGUAUUUAUAAAGUAAUUUUUUACAUCAGCCGAUGUCACAAAGUGCUAUACAGAAACCCAGCCUAAAACCCCAUACAGCAAGCAAUGCAGGUGUAGAAGCACGUGGCUAGGAAAAACUCCCUAGAAAGGCAUGAACCUAAGAAGAAACCUAGAGAGGAACCAGGCUCUGAGGGGUGGCCAGUCCUCUUCUGGCUGUGCCGGGUUGAGAUUAUAAUGGUACAUGGCCAAGAUGUUCAAACGUUCAUAGAUGACCAGCAGGGUCAAAUAAUAAUAAUAAUCACAGUGGUUGUAGAGGGUGCAACAGGUCAGCACCUCAGGAGUAAAUGUCAGUUGGCUUUUCAUAGCCGAUCAUUCAGAGUUAGAGACAGCAGGUGCGGUAGAGAGAGAGAGUCGAAAACAGCAGGUACGGGACAAGGUAGCACGCCCGGUGAACAGGUCAGGGUUCCAUAGCUGCAGGCAGAAUAGUUGAAACUGGACAGGGCCAACCAGGCAGGAUAUACCGACAGAUACUACCUCAUGUGUUCCGGACGGACAGAAUGAAGCAGAUGCAUGACGGCCCAGUAACCAGUCACUUUGGCGUGGAACGAACACUUGCCCGGCUGCAGACAAGAUACUACUGGUACCGAAUGAGAGAGGAUGUCACACUAUGGUGUCGUACAUGUACCAGCUGUGCCGCUAAAGCCAGACCUUCGACGAAGCCCCAAGCACCUAUGGGCACUGUUCUCGUGGGAGUACCUAUGGAGAGGAUCGCCCCAUGAACAAGACAGAAUGCUAGAAUCGCUACAUAUUGGUGGUUCAAUACUAUUUCACAAAGUGGGUGGAAGCCUACCCUCUACCCAACUAUCAAGCCGCAACAGUGGCAGAAGUUCUGACAGCUGAAUGGGUGUGUCGCUAUGGAGCCCCACAGACACUCCACAGCGACCAAGGCUCCAACUUCAAAUCAGAAGUCUUCCAAAGAAUGCGUGAACUGUUAGGAAUCGAGAAGACUCUCACAACCCCUUUCAGACGGCAAUCUGACGGGCAAGUCAAAAGAUUUAAUGCCAUUCCACAGGAGAUCUUAGCCACUACCACAGAACGUUGUCAUUGGGACUGGGACCUUAAACCCCCUGAAGUAUGUGGGUCUGUAAAUUGUGACUGUUUUAUAUUCUAUGCAUUGAGACGUGGGCCAUGUUUUGGGAACUGUGUUAUUUUGUAUGGGAAGAAAAACUGGUAUUUUUGUAAACAGAAGGAAACAUUUUUGAAAUAUAACAGUUGUUGUAAAUUGCAAGUGCUAACCUUUUUCCUUUUCAGGAGAGAUAAAUAGGGGUCCUGCAUUCACACUGGAAUUACAUGUGCAAGCCCUACAGUGGACUGCUAGGUACUGGAACCACUGACUUGCCUUCCUUUCUCUAUGUAUCCUCAUCUGAAACCAACAGCCUUUGGGGUGACAGGUAGCCUAGUGGUUAGAGCGUUGGACUAGCAACCAAAGGUUGCAAGAUCGAAUCGCUGAGCUGACAAGGCAGUUAACCCACUUUUCCUAGGCCGUCAUUGAUAAUAAGAAUUUGUUCUUAACUGACUUGCCUAGUAAAAUUAAAAUAAAUCAAAAUCCUACCCACUGCUCCAUGUGCUUUUAGGGAAUAUGGACUGUAUUGACUACUUGCUCUGUCAGGACAGGACAAGUUCAGAGGACUUUAUCGACUGAAAAUAAUAAUAUUAAAAAAACAUUGCUCUGGCAGGAAAGGUAACAAUUUGCUUAAGUACUGAGAAAGAGAGGAGAGAGAAGAAAAAGAUGAGAGCAGAGACGAUAUAAUAGUGCCGGAAGGGAUGGCUGCCGUUUUACGGGCUCCUAACCAACUGUGCUAUUUUGAUAGUUUUUUCGCAUUAUUUGUAACUCAUUUUGUACAUAAUGUUGUUCCUACCGUCUCUUAUGACUAAAAAGAGCUUCUGGACAUCAGAACAUUGAUUACUCACCUCGAACUGGAAGAAGAUUUUUAUUUAAUGAGUCCGACGCGAAGGAUAUACUGCUUUGUCAAGACAAGGCCCAAAUCUCCAUCAUCAGCAUGAAGAAAAGACAAAGGAAAAGGGGAAGGAGGGUGGGGUGCCUUUGAGACGUGCCUGAACGAUGACACCGAUAAUGUAGAGCUGUCUGGCUUAUUCGUGCAUCUGCAGGACAGAGCAGCUACGUCUGCAUGUCACAUGUGCAACCAGAGGAAAAAAAUCUAGACCACCUUUACUCCACACACAGAGACACAUACAAAGCUCUCCCUCGCCUUCCAUUUGGCAAAUCUGACCAUAAUUCUAUCCUCCUGAUUCCUGCUUACAAGCAAAGACUAAAUCAGGAAGUACCAGUGACUCGCUCAAUACGGAAGUGGUCAGAUGACACGGAUGCUGAACUACAGGACUGUUUUACUUGCACAGACUGGAAUAUGUUCCAUGAUUCAUCCAAUGGCAUUGAGGAGUAUACCACCUUAGUCACUGGCUUCAUCUAUAAGUGCAUCGAUGACGUCGUCCCCACAGUGACCGAACGUACAUUUCCCAACCAGAAACCAUGGAUUCUAGGCAACAUCCGCACUGAGCUAAAGGCUAGAGCUGCCACUUUCAAGGAGCAGGACUUUACUCUGACCCUUAUAAGAAAUCCCGCUAUGCCCUCAAACGAACCAUAAAACAGUCAAAGCCUCAGUACAGGACUAAGAUUGAAUCCUACUACACCGGCUCUGACGCUCGUCCGAUGUGGCAAGGCUUGAAAAAUAUUACAGACUACAAAGGGAAACCCAGCCGUGAGCUGCCCAGUGCCACGAGCCUACCAAAUUAGCAAAAUGCCAUUUAUGCUCGCUUCGAGGCAAGCGAUAUUGAAGCAUGCAUGAGAGCACGAGCUGUUCCGGACGACUGUGUGAUUACACAUAGCCAAUGUGAGCAAGACCUUUAAACAGGUCAACAUUCACAAAGCCACGGGGCCAGAUGGAUUACCAGGACGUGUACUCAAAGCAUGCGCGGACCAACUGGCAAGUGUCUUCACUGACAUUUUAAACCUCUCCCUGACCAAGUCUGUAAUACUUACAUGUUAGAAACAGACCACCAUAGUCCCUGUGCCCAAGAAAGCAAAGGUAACCUGUCUAAAUGAUUACCACCCCAUAGCACUCACGUCGGUACCCUUGAAGUGCUUUGAAAGGUUGGUCAUGGCUCACUUCAACACCAUCAUGCCAGAAACCCUAGAAACCAUAGACCCCUUCGCAUACCACCCCAACAGAUCCACAGAUGACACAAUCUCAAUUGCAGUCCACACUGCCCUUUCCCACCUAGACAAAAAUACACCUGUGUGAGCAUGCUGUUCACUGACUACAACUCAGCGUUCAACACCAUAGUGCCCACAAAGCUCAUCAAUAAGCUAAGAACCCUGGAACUAAACACCUCCCUCUGCAACUGGAUCCUGGACUUCCUGACGGGCCGCCCCAGGUGGUAAGGGUAGGCAACAACACAUCUGCCAUGCUGAUCCUCAACACGGGAGCCCCUCAGGGGUGCGUGCUUAGUCCCCUCCUGUACUCCCUGUUCACCCACGACUGCGUGGCCAAGCACGGCUCCAACACCAUCAUUAAGUUUGCUGAUGACACAAUAGUGAUAGGCCUGAUCACCGACAAUGACAAGACAGCCUAUACAGAGGAGGUCAGAGUCCUGGUCGUGUGGUGCCAGGACAACAACCUCUCCCUCAAUGUGAGCAAGACAAAGGAGCUGAUCGUGGACUAAAGGAAAAAGGGGAUGAACAGGCCCCCAUUAACAUCGACAGUCCUGAAGUGGAGCGGGUCCAGAGUUUCAAGUUCCUUGGGGUCCGCAUCACCAACAAACUAUCAUGGUCCAAACACACCAAGACAGUUUGAACGAGGGCACGACACACCUUUUCCCCCUCAAGAGACUGAAUAGAUUUCAGAAAGUUAUACAGCUGCACCAUCGAGAGCAUCCUGACCGGUUGCACCACCGCCUCGUAUGGCAACUGCUUAGCAACUGACCGUAAGGCGCUACAGACGGUAGUGCGUACGGCCGUGUACAUCCCUGGGGCCAAGCUUCCUGACACGCCAGUCACCCAAGUCAAUGACUGUUCUCUCUGCUACCGCACGGCAAGCGGCACCGGAACUCCAAGUCUAGGACCAAAAGGCUCCUUAACAGCUUCUAUCCCCAAGCCAUAAGACUGCUGAGCAAUUAAUCAAAUGGCCACACAGACUAUUUACAUUGACCCCCCCAAAUUACCUGGACUAACAUUGACUUGGUACCGGUUCCCCCCUGUAUAUAGCCUCCUUAUUGUUAUGUAAUUUUCUUGUGUUACCUUUUGAUUAUUAUUAUUUUUUUUUUUUACUUUAGUUAGUGAAUAUUUUCUUAACACUAUUUCUUGAACUGCAUUGUUGGUUAAGGGCUUGUAAGUAAGCAUUUCACAGUAAGGUCUACUACACCUGUUGUAUUCGGCGCAUGUGACAAAUAAAAUUAGAUUUGAUUUGAUUUGAGAUAACGUCAGUGUAGUCAGCAGUGCUACAAUGGGACCCAUGGUGCUAAUGAGUGGUUGCCUAGCAACUGCAUCUAGGGGUGGGCCAGCCAGGUUUUCACAGCAGCACCGUGCCUGGGCAGGGAGGACUUCAGACAUAGCUCAACCCAUGGAUGGAUUCCAUUCUAUUUACUUUACUUUAUUUAUAUACAAUUAAUAAACGUCUAAUAACAUUGUUUUAUCUAUUAAAAGUCUGUUACAGCCUAUGUUUAGAUUUCCAGUAAUUUCAACCAAUGAAUUGUGUGUUCUGUGUUCACAGUGUAUAAUUUUGACUCUGUUUUAUUAAUCGUGUUGUUCUGGCGUUGCACAGCACUGAACAUUGUUAAGUCAAAUGCAUCAGUUCACUUUGCAACAACAGUUUGUCUCCUCUUCUCCAAAGUAUCUAGGCCUAUAUUCAGCCAAAUUGCAGCGCAACAACCUCCAAUAGGAAUCACUCAGCUUUGACACACCCCUCUUUUUAGCUACUGCUACUCUCUGUUCAUCAUAUAUGCAUAGUCACUUAUAUAACCAUACCCGCAUGUACAUACUACCUCAAUAAGCCUGUCUAACCAGUGUCUGUAUAUAGCCUUGCUACUCUUAUUUUCAAAUGUCUUUUUACUGUUGUUUUAUUUCUUUACUUUCCUACACACACACACACACACACACACACACACACACACACACACACACACACACACACACACACACACACACACACACAUACCUUUUUUUUCUCGCACUAUUGGUUAGAGCCUGUAAGUAAGCAUUUCACGGUAAGGUCUACACCUGUUGUAUUCGGCGCACGUGACAAAUAAACUUUGAUUUGAUUUGAUUUAGAUGUGUUGUUGUGUGUUUAUUGGGACUAUGCAGUGAGUAUGUGUGGUCUGCCUUGCUUCUGUAUGUGGAGGGCGGUCUCAGCCCAGCCCAAGGACACACGGAAAGCAGAGGACAGGGG
This 6455-nucleotide long non-coding RNA is filed under the name Salmo salar (Atlantic salmon). RNAcentral's name for it is "lncRNA (ENSSSAG00000114000.1)". The record is from RNAcentral. Lineage: Eukaryota; Metazoa; Chordata; Actinopteri; Salmoniformes; Salmonidae.